AUUGAACGCUGGCGGCAUGCCUAACACAUGCAAGUCGAACGGAAACGAUGGGAGCUUGCUCCCAGGCGUCGAGUGGCGGACGGGUGAGUAAUACUUAGGAAUCUACCCAGUAGCGGGGGACAACUCGGGGAAACUCGAGCUAAUACCGCAUACGCUCUACGGAGGAAAGCAGGGGAUCUUCGGACCUUGCACUAUUGGAUGAGCCUAAGUCGGAUUAGCUUGUUGGUGAGGUAAAGGCUCACCAAGGCGACGAUCCGUAGCUGGUCUGAGAGGACGAUCAGCCACACUGGGACUGAGACACGGCCCAGACUCCUACGGGAGGCAGCAGUGGGGAAUAUUGGACAAUGGGGGCAACCCUGAUCCAGCAAUGCCGCGUGUGUGAGAAGGCCUGCGGGUU
Molecule: ribosomal RNA, 397 nt
Filed under: uncultured bacterium
Lineage: Bacteria
Description: bacterial SSU rRNA
Rfam family: Bacterial small subunit ribosomal RNA
Source: RNAcentral